CACAGAGUUAGCCGUCCCUUCCUCUUCUGAUACUAUCAAUGCGAGCACAGUUAAUACUCGCACCUUGUUCUCAAAUGACAGGAGUUUACAACCCGAAAGCCUUCAUCCUCCACGCGGCGUCGCUCCUUCAGGCUUUCGCCCAUUGAGAAAAAUUCUCGACUGCUGCCACCCGUAGGUGUCUGGACCGUGUCUCAGUUCCAGUGUGACUGGUCGUCCUCUCAGACCAGCUACCCGUCAUAGCCUUGGUGGGCCGUUACCCGCCAACUAGCUGAUAGGCCGCGGGCUCCUCAAAAAGCGCCAGGUUACCCCGGCUUUGGAUUCAGGAAGAUGUCGUCCCUCACCACAUGCGGUAUUAAUUCGCCUUUCGGCGAGCUAUCCCCCACUUUUCGGCAGAUUGCCACGUGUUACGCACCCGUUCGCCACUGAAUUACUUCUGUAUUGCUACAAAAAUAUCCCGUUGACUUGCAUGUCUUAUCCACGUCCGCCAGCGUUCGUUCUGAGUCCA
Molecule: ribosomal RNA, 505 nt
Filed under: uncultured Spartobacteria bacterium
Lineage: Bacteria; Pseudomonadati; Verrucomicrobiota; Spartobacteria
Description: partial 16S ribosomal RNA
Source: RNAcentral